CAAAGUACAUGUACAAAAAGUUAAUUGAACUCUCGAAAAGCGUUUCUGUAAUGUUGCAACUUAACGAUAAUCGGUACAAAAGCGGCGACAGGAACAGAGAUGGCGGCAAAUUUCGCCCCGCUCGCACUGCUACCAGCGAUCGCCGGCGGCGAUCUGACUUAUGCCCAGGGCGAGGGAAGGUUUUCCACCGUCCCCGUCCUCAAUUACUAGGAAGAUCUCUAAAUCUCUCGCUCCCUCAACAAGUUACUUCUGUUUCUUCAUCUCCCCAAGAAUAUAUAGACGAUUGAAAUUGCAUACCUGAGUGCUUAGAGAGUGGGUACUGGCGACAAAGAAGAUGGUAUCGCUGAAGUAGUUAUUGCUCAGGAAGCGGCUUGUUGAACUCCAGACAGAUGAUAGAACUUUGGGACUUUAACAUGAUAAAUGGGAAUUGUUUCACGUGUUGAAUUGCAGCUAUCUCGCAAAUCUUCAGCAACAUUUGAAAGCUAUGAUGCAUCGACAUAGACACGUGUGUCCGACAUGAUAUGUGUCGGAUACGUCGACACGCGAUUUUUCAAAAAAAGUUCUCUGGAAUUCCUUGAAUGGGAAGGAGCUAUGUUUGUCGGCACGGGAUACAUUAAAUUAAAGAGUUCGUGCAAUGUACAAACAUGUCAUCAACAACGAGGGCAACUCCCAAAAGAAGGUUGGUACUUGAACAUUUAUUAGUGUAUGCAUCAUAUAUUCAUGUAUGCAUAUAUCUGUGAAGAUUGAUGUAAUAAACAUAAUGAUGUUGUUUGUUCCCAAGAAUUGAUUAUGAGAAGAUGCUAAACAAUUCCCUUGUACCACCAAUGUCCAUCCAGCGGAAAAUUCAUUAUUUUUUAUUUAGUAUUAAUUGGAGUGUCACCACGUCUUCAUAAUUUGAUGUGAAGAGUCACUGUUCACUAUAAGAAAAUGUCCAACGAACUUUAUGAGAAGGUAGAAUAUUGGGGUUCUAAUGGCGGAAGAAGGGGGUUGUGCUGGGGUCAAAUUUAUCACGUUGCUAGCUGUUAUACUUACUCUUUCUUAGACUUGAAUAUCAAGCUUAAAUCACAUGUAUUGCAGUAGAAUUUGAACGGUAAGAUAUUUGAACCCAUUUUAUAUUCAAUUAGAGCCUGUUUGAACCACAUUAUAAUGAGAAUGAGAAUGAGAAAUA
Olea europaea var. sylvestris is the source of this 1168-nucleotide long non-coding RNA. RefSeq lists it as uncharacterized. The transcript is spliced from 3 exons. The record is from RefSeq and is a predicted model, not a curated record. Lineage: Eukaryota; Viridiplantae; Streptophyta; Magnoliopsida; Lamiales; Oleaceae.